CUAUUGAAGGAGGUAAUGUAACUUUGAUUCUUUCUUUUGUAUCAUGCAUAGGUCUAAGAUGGCUCUCCAACAUAUAAAUGGACCUAAACAAUGUGAGUCAUUGGAUCUAUAGGACACGAUGGUAUGGUUAGGUGGUUCCAACAGUUAAGAUUGUCUAGUUGGUGUCUCUUUUUCUUCACCGGUUGAUAGUAAAUGGGCUUGGUCACUCCUGAAGUAGUUUGAGUUUGGUUUGCAUGUAGCCUGAGCUGUUAGAGUUCUUUGAUAUUUAGGCCAUGACCGUGAAAAACCUCAAGAAGUCACUUAGAUGCCUAUUAAAUUCUUAAGUUGUAACGGGAUAUUACAGGUAAUCUGAUUGUGGGGCCCACAAUUUGUCCAAAAAAAAAGAUAUGACCAAAACUCAUAGAUUCAAACUAUAAGUCAGUCAAAGACAUUUCAGAAACCAUCUAACUAGUUGUUAGGUUCCUAUAUGUAUCAAGCUUUCAGCUACUGAGUUGAGAUGAUGUGAGCAGUUCCCAUUUCAAUGCAUCAGUAAUAUUUUCUUGCUUGAAACAUCAUCUUAUAUCAAAUUGAACAUAACCUUCUAAUUAGUGAAUUGUUUCUUUUGAGAGACCUGACUGAAACUUUUCUGAUAGCUAGUGCCCUUCAAAAAGUCAACCGAAUUUGAAAUCAAUGACACAGGGCUCCCCUGAAGAAUUCAUACACAGAAAUCGAGAAGCCUUAGAAAGUGAAUAUGUAAGCUUUAAUCUUCAUCACUGGAUCGACCUAUUAUUUGGUUACAAACAGCGUGGAAGUUACCUGUUUUUGCACUGAGUGGAAUUGCAACUGGCCCAAAUUGUGCUUCUAAAACGUGGUUUCUUAUCAUGGUUUUGUAUGUUUAAUAUAUUCAGAAGAUGUGGAAAAUGGCUUAAGGAAUGAUUUCUUAUCAUGGUUAAGCACAAGAGAAUUGAUUCUUAUAGAAUGAUUUCUUAUCGUGGUUAAGCAUAAGAGAAUUGAUUCUUAUAUAUUAAUGCAACAACUAUGGAUUAAAGGUGACACUACCUAAUGCAUCUGUCCAUUGAAACGCUUCCUGCUGUACUUCUCCUAUGAACAUUUCUAUGCGAUAUACUGCAAAUUUUGGGAGAUGGAUAUGGAUCAUGAUUUCUUGAUUGAUAAAGAGAAUCUUAUUAGAUAUGGUAACCAUGCUCUCACUUACAGGAUUGUUGACGGAAUUUUUUCACAGAUUCCAACAAACUAUUCCAACAUAGAGAGCUUCCACCCUAGGAGGUACGUUUGAACCCCACACAUUAGAACAAGGCUAACUACUUGGAUUUUGGUUAUAUAGCCAAUGACACAAGUCCCAAUCAAAAUUCACUGAAGCCAAGGCUAAAAGCCUAUUGGUCCUUCAACAAAACAUUCCUAAAAUACCUCAACUACUACAAAUCAAUUAGUAAAGUUAAAAUGUUAUUAAAUAUCCCAUCCAAAGAUCCAAACACUCUCAAAACUGUUUAUCCACAACUGUAUGGCUCUCUUUAGGGCUCUAUGGUUGUACAAAAGCCCUACUUUUGCAUAUAUUAUUUGUAUUAACUCUAAAAAUACCCAGCUAAUUGGACUUGUUGCCCCCUAAGUCCAAUUGCUCCGUUGUUUCAUCCAUCCAGUUGGCUCUGUUUGUCCCACAAGCAAUUAUGCCAUUUGAUGGACUGUUGAUUGGAUUGUGGACCCCAUGGUCCAAUUGGAUGGGAUUUUUGCCACAGGCCUUAAUUGGCCAGCGUGUGGGGUCCAUUGGUGGAACCUAUUUGUUGAUCCGUUUGUCUUGCAUUGUUAAAUCUAUUUGUUGUAUGAGUAAACUUUGAUGUAGUAAUUACUAAUGCAACUUAUGUUAUUGUCA
Magnolia sinica is the source of this 1864-nucleotide long non-coding RNA. RefSeq lists it as uncharacterized. Lineage: Eukaryota; Viridiplantae; Streptophyta; Magnoliopsida; Magnoliales; Magnoliaceae. The transcript has 3 exons. The record is from RefSeq and is a predicted model, not a curated record.